This 464-nucleotide long non-coding RNA is filed under the name Mustela putorius furo (domestic ferret). RNAcentral describes it as "lncRNA (ENSMPUG00000030023.1)". The record is from RNAcentral. Lineage: Eukaryota; Metazoa; Chordata; Mammalia; Carnivora; Mustelidae.
CCUCUGCAGCCGGAGGUGACCGCCGAGGCAGAGCCGCAGGAGGCGGCUGGCGACGACAGGGGAGAUGGACAGUACUCACAUACAAAUGAGAGCUUUGCCUCCGGGCGCGCACAAUUGGAUGGAGAGCGGACGCCGAGGCAGAAAUUCAUUUCCCCAGAGAAGGAGAGAAGUGCGCCGCGAGCUCAGGGUCACACCAGAACAGAGACACAGCCAGAGAGGGAACACAAGCAGGGGGAAGUGCAAGAGGGAGAAGUAGGCUUCUCGCUGAGCAAGGAGCCGGACGUGGGACUCAAUCCUAUACUCUGGGAUCAUGAUCUGAGCUGAAGGCAGACACCCAAUGACUGAGCCACCCAGAUGCCCUGAAUGCUUUUUUAAAUGGUCAUGAGUUGCUGCUUUGACUGGCUGAGAAUAAAGGUAGGUGGUUCCCACCACAAAAUUGCUUUUCCUGUACGAUUCAUAUUCAU